UUCAAAUUUCUAAGAGCAAACGGUGAAUGCCUUGGCAUGUAGAGCCGAAGAAGGACGUAGUAAUCUGCGAUAAGCCUCGGGGAGUUGAUAAACGAACUGUGAUCCGAGGAUUUCCGAAUGGGGAAACCCCGCCAGGCCCUUUGGGUGACCUGGUGACUCCCGCCUGAAUAUAUAGGGCGGGUAGAGGGAACGUGGGGAAGUGAAACAUCUCAGUACCCACAGGAAGAGAAAACAAUAGUGAUUCCGUUAGUAGUGGCGAGCGAAACCGGAUGAGGCUAAACCGAUCAUGUGUGAUAGCCGGCAGGCGUUGCAUGGUCGGGGUUGCGGGACUUUUCUGCUGAUUCUGCCGAACAGUGAGGGUUAGAGCGUUGUAUAGACGAACAGGAUUGAAAGCCUGGUCAUAGAGGGUGCGAACCCCGUAGUCGAAAUGCAGCAAUCGCCCGAAGAGUAUCCCAAGUAGCACGGGGCCCGAGAAAUCCCGUGUGAAUCCGUCAGGACCACCUGAUAAGCCUAAAUACUCCUACAUGACCGAUAGUGAACAAGUACCGUGAGGGAAAGGUGAAAAGUACCCCGGGAGGGGAGUGAAAUAGUACCUGAAACCGUUUGCUUACAAACCGUUGGAGCCAGCUUUGUUCUGGUGACAGCGUGCCUUUUGAAGAAUGAGCCUGCGAGUUAGUGAUAUGUGGCGAGCUUAACCCGAGAGGGGAAUGCGUAGCGAAAGCGAGUCUGAAUAGGGCGAUUCAGUCGCAUGUCCUAGACCCGAAGCGAAGUGAUCUAUCCAUGGCCAGGUUGAAGCGACGGUAAGACGUCGUGGAGGACCGAACCCACUUCAGUUGAAAAUGGAGGGGAUGAGCUGUGGAUAGGGGUGAAAGGCCAAUCAAACUUCGUGAUAGCUGGUUCUCUCCGAAAUGCAUUUAGGUGCAGCGUUGCGUGUUUCUUGCCGGAGGUAGAGCUACUGGAUGGCCGAUGGGGCCUAAAAGCUUACUGACGUCAGCCAAACUCCGAAUGCCGGUAAGUGAGAGCGCAGCAGUGAGACGGUGGGGGAUAAGCUUCAUCGUCGAGAGGGAAACAACCCAGACCACCAACUAAGGUCCCAAAGCGCGUGCUAAGUGGGAAAGGAUGUGGAGUUGCACAGACAACCAGGAGGUUGGCUUAGAAGCAGCCACCCUUGAAAGAGUGCGUAAUAGCUCACUGGUCAAGUGAUUCCGCGCCGACAAUGUAACGGGGCUCAAGCACGCCACCGAAGUUGUGGCAUUGAUAUUUUUGGUAAGCCGC
RNAcentral lists this ribosomal RNA (1275 nucleotides) under Cryobacterium sandaracinum. RNAcentral describes it as "Cryobacterium sp. TMT2-16 partial 23S ribosomal RNA". It matches the Rfam family "Bacterial large subunit ribosomal RNA", at positions 1 to 1229 of the family's 2925-position model. The record is from RNAcentral. Lineage: Bacteria; Bacillati; Actinomycetota; Actinomycetes; Micrococcales; Microbacteriaceae.